AUAACCGCUGAAAGCAUCUAAGCGGGAAGCCCACCUCAAGAUUAGAUUUCCCUAAAGAGCCGUUCAAGACUAGGACGUUGAUAGGCAGGGUGUGUAAGCGUUGUAAAGCGUUCAGCUAACCUGUACUAAUUGCUCGAUCGACUUGACCUUAUUACAUCAAAG
RNAcentral lists this ribosomal RNA (162 nucleotides) under Gammaproteobacteria bacterium. Its description in RNAcentral is "partial 23S ribosomal RNA". It matches the Rfam family "Bacterial large subunit ribosomal RNA", at positions 2764 to 2925 of the family's 2925-position model. The record is from RNAcentral. Lineage: Bacteria; Pseudomonadati; Pseudomonadota; Gammaproteobacteria.